CCCUAGCCCCGAUAGUAGCGGAAAUCCUUUUGUGCCGGGGUUCGGCACAAAAGAUUGUAGCGGAUAGCGGGAAAUAGC
Molecule: small RNA, 78 nt
Filed under: Flavobacterium saccharophilum
Lineage: Bacteria; Pseudomonadati; Bacteroidota; Flavobacteriia; Flavobacteriales; Flavobacteriaceae
Also listed under: 2 other names
Description: Flavo-1 RNA
Rfam family: Flavo-1 RNA
Source: RNAcentral